UAAAGGUAUCUAUGUUGUUUCAUUGCGAGGGUUUAUUGUUAUGCAUCUUGAAAGACGAUAAUACUAAGGUUGUUGUUUGGAAUCCGUAUUUGGGGCAAAGAAGGUUUAUCCAAG
Molecule: small RNA, 114 nt
Filed under: Arabidopsis thaliana (thale cress)
Lineage: Eukaryota; Viridiplantae; Streptophyta; Magnoliopsida; Brassicales; Brassicaceae
Description: ATSL145340
Source: RNAcentral